Molecule: ribosomal RNA, 376 nt
Filed under: uncultured bacterium
Lineage: Bacteria
Description: bacterial SSU rRNA
Rfam family: Bacterial small subunit ribosomal RNA
Source: RNAcentral
UACGUAGGGGGCUAGCGUUGUCCGGAAUUAUUGGGCGUAAAGAGCGUGUAGGCGGCUCGAUAAGUCCGCUGUGAAAGUCGAGGGCUCAACCCUCGAAUGCCGGCGGAUACUGUCGAGCUAGAGUCCGGAAGAGGCGAGUGGAACUCCUGGUGUAGCGGUGAAAUGCGCAGAUAUCAGGAAGAACACCAAUGGCGAAGGCAGCUCGCUGGGACGGUACUGACGCUGAGACGCGAAAGCGUGGGGAGCGAACAGGAUUAGAUACCCUGGUAGUCCACGCCGUAAACGAUGGGCACUAGGUGUGAGGGGUGUCGACUCCCCUCGUGCCGAAGCUAACGCAUUAAGUGCCCCGCCUGGGGAGUACGGCCGCAAGGCUAAA